CCUACGUGCGGCAGCAGUGGGGAAUAUUGGACAAUGGGCGAAAGCCUGAUCCAGCCAUGCCGCGUGUGUGAAGAAGGCCUUCGGGUUGUAAAGCACUUUCAGUGGGGAAGAAAGCCUUGGGGCUAAUACCCUCGAGGAAGGACAUCACCCACAGAAGAAGCACCGGCUAACUCCGUGCCAGCAGCCGCGGUAAUACGGAGGGUGCGAGCGUUAAUCGGAAUUACUGGGCGUAAAGCGCGCGUAGGCGGUCUGAUAAGCCGGUUGUGAAAGCCCCGGGCUCAACCUGGGAACGGCAUCCGGAACUGUCAGGCUAGAGGGCAGGAGAGGAAGGUAGAAUUCCCGGUGUAGCGGUGAAAUGCGUAGAGAUCGGGAGGAAUACCAGUGGCGAAGGCGGCCUUCUGGACUGACACUGACGCUGAGGUGCGAAAGCGUGGGUAGCAAACAGGAUUAGAUACCCUAGUGUC
RNAcentral lists this ribosomal RNA (464 nucleotides) under Vreelandella stevensii. Its description in RNAcentral is "partial 16S ribosomal RNA". It matches the Rfam family "Bacterial small subunit ribosomal RNA", at positions 338 to 795 of the family's 1533-position model. Lineage: Bacteria; Pseudomonadati; Pseudomonadota; Gammaproteobacteria; Oceanospirillales; Halomonadaceae. The record is from RNAcentral.